AGAAGGAACUCGGCAAACUGGUACCGUAACUUCGGGAUAAGGUACGCCCUGGUAGCUUGACCGGCCUGCGCCGGAAGGGUGAAGGGGUUGCAAUAAACUGGUGGCUGCGACUGUUUAAUAAAAACACAGCACUCUGCAAACACGAAAGUGGACGUAUAGGGUGUGACGCCUGCCCGGUGCCGGAAGAUUAAAUGAUGGGGUGCAAGCUCUUGAUUGAAGUCCCGGUAAACGGCGGCCGUAACAAUAACGGUCCUAAGGUAGCGAAAUUCCUUGUCGGGUAAGUUCCGACCUGCACGAAUGG
Molecule: ribosomal RNA, 301 nt
Filed under: Chaetoceros affinis
Lineage: Eukaryota; Bacillariophyta; Thalassiosirophyceae; Chaetocerotales; Chaetocerotaceae
Description: partial Bacterial large subunit ribosomal RNA
Rfam family: Bacterial large subunit ribosomal RNA
Source: RNAcentral